GAUAAUAAUUAAAAAGUGGUCCAUUCCUUGUCCUCUGCCACUAAACUUUGCUACAGGAUUUUCCCAGGUUUCAAAUUCUACUAGAGACUGUAAUGCACAACUUUUUAAUUUCUCCAAAGAGAGUGCUUAUGCCAUUCCAACUAUGGCUUUCUCAUUUCUCUGCCAUACAUCAGUACUGCCAAUUUAUUGUGAGCUCCAAAGUCCAUCCAAAAGCAGGAUGCAAAAGGUU
Long non-coding RNA from Protobothrops mucrosquamatus (brown spotted pit viper), 229 nucleotides. RefSeq lists it as uncharacterized. NCBI's taxonomy places the organism in Eukaryota, Metazoa, Chordata, Lepidosauria, Squamata, Viperidae. The transcript has 4 exons. The record is from RefSeq and is a predicted model, not a curated record.